RNAcentral lists this transfer RNA (73 nucleotides) under Ktedonobacteraceae bacterium. RNAcentral describes it as "tRNA-Arg". It matches the Rfam family "tRNA". From Rfam's summary of the family: Transfer RNA (tRNA) molecules are approximately 80 nucleotides in length. Their secondary structure includes four short double-helical elements and three loops (D, anti-codon, and T loops). Lineage: Bacteria; Bacillati; Chloroflexota; Ktedonobacteria; Ktedonobacterales; Ktedonobacteraceae. The record is from RNAcentral.
GCGCCCAUAGCUCAGUGGAUAGAGCAAUGCUCUUCUAAAGCAUUGGCCGCAGGUUCGAAUCCUGCUGGGCGCG